Ixodes scapularis (black-legged tick) is the source of this 82-nucleotide non-coding RNA. Lineage: Eukaryota; Metazoa; Arthropoda; Arachnida; Ixodida; Ixodidae. The record is from Rfam.
GCAGUCGUGGCCGAGUGGUUAAGGUGACGGACUAGAAAUCCGUUGGUGUCUCCCUGCACAGGUUCGAAUCCUGCGGACUGCG